Molecule: ribosomal RNA, 446 nt
Filed under: uncultured bacterium
Lineage: Bacteria
Description: SSU rRNA
Rfam family: Bacterial small subunit ribosomal RNA
Source: RNAcentral
AGAACGAACGCUGGCGGCAGGCUUAACACAUGCAAGUCGAGCGCUGUAGCAAUACAGAGCGGCGCACGGGUGAGUAACACGUGGGAACAUGCCUUUCGGUUCGGAAUAACUCAGGGAAACUUGUGCUAAUACCGGAUACGCCCUUACGGGGAAAGAUUUAUUGCCGAAAGAGUGGCCCGCGUUGGAUUAGCUAGUUGGCGGGGUAAAAGCCCACCAAGGCGACGAUCCAUAGCUGGUCUGAGAGGACGACCAGCCACACUGGGACUGAGACACGGCCCAGACUCCUACGGGAGGCAGCAGUGGGGAAUCUUGGACAAUGGGGGAAACCCUGAUCCAGCCAUGCCGCGUGAGUGAUGAAGGCCCUAGGGUUGUAAAACUCUUUCGGCGGGGACGAUAAUGACGGUACCCGCAGAAGAAGCUCCGGCUAACUUCGCGCCAGCAGCCGC